UACCCGCGGCCCGAGUGGUGCUCAUUAUUAUUGAGCGUAAAGCGUCCGUAGCUGGCCGGGCAAAUCUCCGGGUAAAUCGGGCCGCUCAACGGUCCGAAUUCCGGAGACACUGCUCGGCUUGGGAUCGGGAGAGGGUGAAGGUACUCCCGGGGUAGGGGUAAAAUCCUGUAAUCCUGGGGGGACCACCAGUGGCGAAGGCGUUCACCUAGAACGAAUCCGACAGUGAGGGACGAAGCCCUAGGGCGCAAACGGGAUUAGAUACCCCGGUAGUCUAGGGUGUAAACGCUGCAGACUUGGUGUUGGGGGUCCUGCGUGGGCUCCCAGUGCCGGAGCGAAGGUGUUGAGUCUGCCGCUUGGGGAGUACGGUCGCAAGACUGAAACUUAAAGGAAUUGGCGGGAGAGCACCGCAACGGGAGGAGCGUGCGGUUCAAUUGGAUUCAACGCCGGAAAACUCACCGGAGGCGACGGAGGGAUGAAAGCCAGGCUGAAGACCUUGCCCGAUUCUCCGAGAGGUGGUGCAUGGCCGUCGUCAGUUCGUACCGUAAGGCGUUCUGUUAAGUCAGAUAACGAACGAGACCCUCGCCGUUAGUCGCAAUCUUACAAGCGAUUGUAGGAGCACACUAGCGGGAUCGCUGCCGUUAAGGCAGAGGAAGGAGAGGUCUACGGUAGGUCCGUAUGCCCCGAAUCUUCCGGGCAACACGCGCGCUACAAAGGUGGGGACAAUGGGACCCGACCUCGAAAGGGGGAGGCAAUCCUGAAACCCCAUCGUAGUCUGGAUCGAGGGCUGUAACUCGCCCUCGUGAAGAUGGAUUCCGUAGUAAUCGCGGGUCAACAUCCCGCGGUGAAUGUGCCCCUGCUCUU
This 861-nucleotide ribosomal RNA is filed under the name uncultured archaeon. RNAcentral's name for it is "bacterial SSU rRNA". It matches the Rfam family "Archaeal small subunit ribosomal RNA", at positions 474 to 1337 of the family's 1478-position model. The record is from RNAcentral.